Alosa alosa (allis shad) is the source of this 861-nucleotide long non-coding RNA. RefSeq lists it as uncharacterized. The transcript is spliced from 3 exons. Lineage: Eukaryota; Metazoa; Chordata; Actinopteri; Clupeiformes; Clupeidae. The record is from RefSeq and is a predicted model, not a curated record.
UAUCUGGUUUUGUAACCUUUUGUUUUCAACCAUUUAGUUAUUUGAAGACAAUGAUGAAUUUUCGGUGUAUUCUUUAGGUAGCUUUCUGAAAAAUAAUUCGCAGGUACAACUCAGGCUUGGUGCAGCUAGCUUAAUGUUAGCCAAUUUGUUGCGAACUUAGUAAGAACGUGCUAGUCUUUCACUGUUGUCCCCAAACUAUUUUGCAAUGAUUAAUGUUACUUUUUUCCCCACACAAAUGUAACUAGGCUGGUAACAUAUUUUGAUGAAUACAUUUUAUUGCAAGUUUUGAUUGUUGGAACACCUGGACAGUGAUAUGCAUGAGAAGCAUGAUGAGAAGUCGCGGCUUUGUCCAAGGACGCCUCGUGGCACUCACUGACUCUUCUAUGGUCUUUACAUUGAUGGUCACCUUCUCAUUAUCUCCUGAGGGCCGACAUGAAGCACACGAAGCCAACGAGUGUUGACCGCCUAAUGCCUUUACUCGGCCCACUUCUGGUUGGAUUUUCUGCAGUCUGGAGUGUCCUGCCAUUGUGAAGACCUGAGUGACUAGGUAUGCCAACAGAAAUGGUUUUGACCCGCCCACCCCCACCCUAGAGGCCGACAUGAAACACACUGCUGAUGGGGAAAUGAGUUGACCAUCUUAUGCCUUUACUCGUCCCACUACUGGUUGGAUUUGCUGCAGUCUGGAGUGUCCUGCCAUCGUCAAGACCUGAGUGACUGUGGGUAUGCCAAAAGAAAUAGUUUGACUCCUACACCCUAGAGGAUUUUAUGUAGGCUUGUCAAAUAUAUAAUGUAUAGCCCACUGUUGCCUCUGUUUCUACUGCAGUUAGCAGAAUUGUCAAUAAAGGAAAGUGUUAAACUGCA